AGAACGAACGCUGGCGGCAUGCCUAAUACAUGCAAGUCGAACGAACACUUCGGUGUUAGUGGCGCACGGGUGCGUAACGCGUGGGAAUCUGCCCUUGGGUUCGGAAUAACAGUUGGAAACGACUGCUAAUACCGGAUGAUGACGAAAGUCCAAAGAUUUAUCGCCCAGGGAUGACGCCCGCGUAGGAUUAGCUAGUUGGUGAGGUAAAGGCUACACCAAGGCGACGAUCCUUAGCUGGUCUGAGAGGAUGAUCGAGCCAACGACGUGGGACUGACGACCGACGGCCCAGACCUCCGUACGGGGACGCAGCGAGGUAGGGAAUUAGUGGAACUAAGU
RNAcentral lists this ribosomal RNA (336 nucleotides) under uncultured soil bacterium. RNAcentral describes it as "bacterial SSU rRNA". It matches the Rfam family "Bacterial small subunit ribosomal RNA", at positions 26 to 376 of the family's 1533-position model. The record is from RNAcentral.